This 615-nucleotide long non-coding RNA is filed under the name Mustela putorius furo (domestic ferret). RNAcentral's name for it is "lncRNA (ENSMPUG00000023833.1)". Lineage: Eukaryota; Metazoa; Chordata; Mammalia; Carnivora; Mustelidae. The record is from RNAcentral.
AAGUCCACGGAAGUUCGCGUCAGCGCUGCUGGGAGCUGCUGCCUUGUUUGGAUGGAACAUCUCUUCCAAAAUUCCCUGAGAAAAGAGACAGAUGAGGAAGGACCUGGUGUUAGAAGGAGUGGACGGGUGAAGUGCAUGGGGCGGGCACAGUGGUGCCCUGCCUGGGAUUCCAGCUGGGGCUUUGUGGUGACCAGCAAACACCGGCAGCAGGCUCACAAGGUGGGGUAGGAGUCAUCUGCUGGAAAGGCGCAAGGAAGAAGAUGGAACUCCCUGCUCAUCCAUGGGGAGGCGCGAAGGGACUCCCACCCCUACCUCCUGCGGAGACACUCAAGGUUGGUGGUGGGCCUGGAGUCACCAGCAGCCAGCCAAGGACCCUACGAGCGCCCAACGUGGAGGCUCCCCGAGAGGGCUGAUGGUGCAUGCCCACUGAGCUCCAGAGCUUCUCCUCUGGCUCCCCGAACCACAGGGAGGGGCACACCCCAGGGACAGGGUAGUGCAAGGGUUGGCGGGGAACACCCCUGCAGCCCACCUUGGCAGAGUCCCUCUGGGUGUGCAAGGAGAAACCUCUGAAAGAGUAUGUGAGAACACCCAGAAGCAGGACCACGUGCAGAACAG